GGGAGUACGCCGGCAACGGUGAAACUCAAAGGAAUUGACGGGGGCCCGCACAAGCGGUGGAGCAUGUGGUUUAAUUCGAUGAUACGCGAGGAACCUUACCAGGGCUUAAAUGCAGAACGACCGGCGUGGAAACAUGCCUUUCUUCGGACGGACUGCAAGGUGCUGCAUGGUCGUCGUCAGCUCGUGCCGUGAGGUGUCGGGUUAAGUCCCAUAACGAGCGCAACCCCUAUCUUUAGUUGCCAGCGGAUAAUGCCGGGGACUCUAGAGAAACUGCCAGCGUAAGCUGUGAGGAAGGUGGGGAUGACGUCAGAUCAUCACGGCCCUUACGUCCUGGGCUACACACGUGCUACAAUGGCAAGGACAAUGAGCUGCCAACCCGCGAGGGUGAGCAAAUCUUCAAACCUUGCCUCAGUUCGGAUCGGAGUCUGCAACUCGACUCCGUGAAGUUGGAAUCGCUAGUAAUCGCGUAUCAGCCAUGACGCGGUGAAUACGUUCCCGGGCCUUGUACACACCGCCCGUCAAACCAUGGAAGUUGGGGGUGCCUGAAGUCCGUCACCGUAAGGAGCGGCCUAGGGUAAAACCAAUGACUGGGGUUAAGUCGUAACAAGGUAACCGUAA
This 618-nucleotide ribosomal RNA is filed under the name uncultured bacterium. RNAcentral describes it as "bacterial SSU rRNA". It matches the Rfam family "Bacterial small subunit ribosomal RNA", at positions 876 to 1505 of the family's 1533-position model. The record is from RNAcentral.